Molecule: long non-coding RNA, 1039 nt
Filed under: Felis catus (domestic cat)
Lineage: Eukaryota; Metazoa; Chordata; Mammalia; Carnivora; Felidae
Description: lncRNA (ENSFCAG00000042414.2)
Source: RNAcentral
UUUUAAAGUACUAAUAAUUCCUUCAACUAAGAGCUGUCCUCAAAAAUAAAUAAAGCACCAGAUAUAAAAUGCACAGCACCUUGUAAGUGAUCAACUUACAGUUUCUUGAAAAACUUUUCUUGGUAAAUGUUGAAGGUAUUUGACUGAAUUGAUAUCUGUAGCUUUUAAGAGGUUGCUUAGAACAUGAAAUUAAAUGAUUGCAUUUUUUAGGAUCAGACUUUCUUAAUUCUCUAAUUUUAUUUUAGGAAAAAUUUGUUUUACUUUUCAGGGAAAAGGCAUUUUAGAAAGCUUUCAUAUCUUUAACAGUCAUUCUGAAAACUUUGUAUUGAAUUUCCCUGAAAACAUACAUGUGUUUAAAAUUUGAAAAGAAGGGGGGAAUAUUUGGCAAUAGUGUGUUUAGAGAUUUGAUCAAAACCCCAAAUAUUUUGAAACCUAAUGCAACCCAUACCUAGAUUAUUUUUACUUCUCAAAAGUCCAGUAAUUUAAUCUCUUAAUCAAACCUCUUGAAGUUUCCAUUUCUAACUAAAUGAAAUGAUAAUAAAUAAUGAGCCAAAAAAAUAAAGAGCACCCAUUUAAGGGGCAAAUGUGGGAAAUUUGAUGGGAAAUGAAUGUGAGUUUAAAUAAAAUGAAAAUAUCAUUUCUCUCCCUUGAUUUUCAGCUCCAAGUAAAUGAGGGACUGAGUAGGAGCCAGCCUAAAUUCCUUGGAUUGAGUUCUUCAAUGUAGAGUUCUUCAUCCAUGGUGCUGACUCACUGCAUUGACUGAGCAGGCUGCCACAACUCAGUCCUUCUGUAGGACUGGCUGUCCUGGUGGAAGGCAUCCAGCAAAGAAUUUAAAUUCCUUCCUCCAUGUUUUGGCAUCCUCAUUCCAGGUUUUUGGAAGCUUCGGACAGGUAUUUAUCUCCCUUGAAGAUUAUUUUCAAGUUCCUUUAAAAGCAAAGGAUGCCGUUCCUGCCAAAGCUAACAGCAGAGGGUGGAGGAGAUCAUUAGUUGACUAAAUAUUUCCACAACAAAAGUUGGGAAAUUUAACCUCAAGGGUAUU